Long non-coding RNA from Rhineura floridana, 2001 nucleotides. RefSeq lists it as uncharacterized. The record is from RefSeq and is a predicted model, not a curated record. NCBI's taxonomy places the organism in Eukaryota, Metazoa, Chordata, Lepidosauria, Squamata, Rhineuridae. The transcript has 3 exons.
GGCAAGAGCAGGCAGCCACAAACCAGCAGUUCCCCAACUUCCCUUGAAGCAAGUCAUGGGAGCUGAUUCCAUUGACAAACAAACCCAGCAGGUCACCGCAGUCUGCAAGACAGCUUCUUCUGCAAGUUACAAAGAGCUCAGAAGCCCACUCCACGGUAACUCAGACCAGGGCUUUCAGUAUGGCUGCCCCUGUUCUGUGGAACAGUAUACCUGUUGAGAUACGACAGGCAUCCACUAUCUGCAGUUUCUGGAAACGACUGAAGCCACUACAGCUGGGGAUGCGUUUAACGCCUUCCUGUCUAGAAACACCCUAUCCCUAUGUUAACAGCAGCUGACUCGAUCUGUUCCAGGAAAGCAGCGACACAGAGCAAAGAAUCAAUGGUGGUGAUGGACGACAAGGAAAAAAGCUUGUAAGGCCAUGGCAGACAAGGACAGUAUAGCUUCUUCCAUGUUUAAGUGCCACACUCAGAUGUCUUUUACAGUCUUUUAUAGAAAUGUAACACUUGACGUGAAUAAACCUACAUACUACUAAGUACGUACCUAACAGCAAUUGAUAACCAUUUAUUUUAGUGAUGGUGUUUGAGAGUUGGAUACUGUACAUGAUUAUCUCUGAAGAGACGGCAGCUCAGUGACAGAGCAUUUGCCUUGCAUGCAGAAGGUCCCAGGUUCAAUCCCUGGUAUCAGUGUUGACAAUACUGUGUCAGAUGGACCAAUGAUCUGCUUCAGUAUAAGACAGCUUCCUAUGUUUGUCUGGUAUGGGGGAUGUUCUGGAGUAGAACAAAGACAUUGUAUUGUAUAUAGCAGCAAUGGAUUUGACAAGAUAUUCAGUGUGGAUGCCAACCAGGGUGGAAUGUGGUUUUUUUAAAAAUGGUAGGACAGUUAGGAAGUUUUAGAGAUACAGCUCUUUAGCAAAUCAAUAACCGAGAGCCAACACUUCUCCAGGACUUGAAAGGCAUUUACGAUUGGAACAUACCAGAAUUAAAUAGGAUAUUUUCAGAAGGCAGUUGCUAGAAUGAUGUGACAAUAUUUGAUUCAUACUUAACAUACCACAUCUUCCCUUCUACUUUCUAUAUAUCCAUUAUACUGGACAGCCAUCAGUCCAGAAUGCUUUGAUUUGGAUUCCUGCAUUGAGCAGGGGGUUGGAUUUGAUGGCUUCAUAGGCCCCUUCCAACUCUACUAUUCUGUGAUUCUAUACUGAAAAAACCUGACUACAGAGUCAAACUCCUCCCAGAUUUUAAGGUUGCUUAAAAAAAAAAAUCUAGUUACUAUUUCCAAGUUUCAAAAGGAAACUGGUCUGAGAUCCAGAUAAAUAAGAUUCUUGAACUCUCUCCAAUACCUGAAUGGAGGCUUGCACUUCAUUUUACAAACAGGUACUCUGUUCAAGUUCCUUCAAACUUUUUUUUAUUGUUAGGCACUCCUGGCUUCCUUGAGUAGUGAGCUGAUAUGGGCAAACUCUACAGAUUUUAACUUCCUCUGAGUGAGAUAGCACUGGAGAGACUUGUGUCUGUAAUAUUUAUUUUAUGUAUAAAUGCACAAGCAGAGCAUAGUGGAAGCAAAUAAACCCCAACAGCAGGCAACAGAAUUGCAAUUCCUUCAUUAAAAAAACUCAAAAGCAACAGCAUACAUCCUGAAAGUUCUCCACCCUAAGAUGCUUCAAACCCAGAUAAGCUUGCAACUCAAAAAUGCAUAAAUCAGGACUAUCUUGGAAUGCUUGUGAUUCAAAUGCCAUCCUGCACUGUGAAAUAAAAUUAAGUGUUUUUAAAAAACAUAAAUAUCUAAUGUAUAGUUAGUCAUGCACAACACACACCUCAGAAGCCUAAAACGUUCACACUGUAUUUCAGCUGUAAAACUUAAACCCUGUUCAUUUAUAUUAAGGCAUAUUUAUUAUGGCCUGUAUCCAAAGAACUGUGCCUAAGGGCUUGAGCAUGUCCUAGUGGGAUUUUUGCCCCCUCCAAUUUGAACAAUUAACUUUUGUAAAUUGUAUUUUGUAAAUUGUAUUAU